GAUGAAGAAACGCAGCGAAAUGCGAUAAGUAAUGUGAAUUGCAGAAUUCAGUGAAUCAUCGAAUCUUUGAACGCACAUUGCGCCCGCCAGUAUUCUGGCGGGCAUGCCUGUUCGAGCGUCAUUACAACCCUCAGGCCCCCGGGCCUGGCGUUGGGGAUCGGCGGAGCCCCCCGUGGGCACACGCCGUCCCCCAAAUACAGUGGCGGUCCCGCCGCAGCUUCCAUCGCGUAGUAGCUAACACCUCGCGACUGGAGAGCGGCGCGGCCACGCCGUAAAACACCCAACUCUUCUGAAGUUGACCUCGAAUCAGGUAGGAAUACCCGCUGAACUUAAGCAUAUCAAUAAGCGGAGGA
Molecule: unclassified non-coding RNA, 353 nt
Filed under: soil metagenome
Description: partial contains 5.8S ribosomal RNA, internal transcribed spacer 2, and large subunit ribosomal RNA
Rfam family: 5.8S ribosomal RNA (bases 1-121)
Source: RNAcentral